UACAGAGGGUGCGAGCGUUAAUCGGAAUUACUGGGCGUAAAGCGUGCGUAGACGGUUAUUUAAGUCGGAUGUGAAAGCCCCGGGCUCAACCUGGGAAUUGCAUUCGAGACUGAAUAGCUAGGGUGCGGUAGAGGGAAGCGGAAUUUCCGGUGUAGCGGUGAAAUGCGUAGAUAUCGGAAGGAACAUCGGUGGCGAAAGCGGCUUCCUGGACCAGCACCGACGUUCAAGCACGAAAGCGUGGGGAGCAAACAGG
Molecule: ribosomal RNA, 253 nt
Filed under: uncultured bacterium
Lineage: Bacteria
Description: partial 16S ribosomal RNA
Rfam family: Bacterial small subunit ribosomal RNA
Source: RNAcentral